GAGUUUGAUUCUGGCUCAGAACGAACGCUGGCGGCGCGUCUUAAGCAUGCAAGUCGAACGGUAAGGGAGAGCUUGCUCUCCCCAGAGUGGCGGACUGGUGAGUAACGCGUGGGUGACCUGCCCUGAAGAUGGGGAUAGCUAGUAGAAAUAUUAGAUAAUACCGAAUGUGCUCAUUUACAUAAAGGUGAAUGAGGAAAGGAGCUACGGCUCCGCUUCAGGAUGGGCCCGCGUCCCAUUAGCUGGUUGGUGAGGUAAAGGCUCACCAAGGCAACGAUGGGUAUCCGGCCUGAGAGGGUGAACGGACACAUUGGGACUGAGAUACGGCCCAAACUCCUACGGGGGGCAGCAGCUAAGAAUCUUCCGCAAUGGACGAAAGUCUGACGGAGCGACGCCGUGUGAAUGAAGAAGGCCGAAAGGUUGUAAAAUUCUUUUGCAGAUGAAGAAUAAACACAGGAGGGAAUGCCUGUGAGAUGACCGGUAGUCAUGCGAAUAAGCCCCGGUA
RNAcentral lists this ribosomal RNA (502 nucleotides) under Treponema denticola. RNAcentral describes it as "bacterial SSU rRNA". It matches the Rfam family "Bacterial small subunit ribosomal RNA", at positions 9 to 498 of the family's 1533-position model. Lineage: Bacteria; Pseudomonadati; Spirochaetota; Spirochaetia; Treponematales; Treponemataceae. The record is from RNAcentral.